GUUGGUUGAGUGUUUUGUGCAUGAUAGUUUUUCGUACUAUCGGUGGGGUUUCCCAAUCAAUU
This 62-nucleotide transfer RNA is filed under the name Lyperosomum longicauda. Its description in RNAcentral is "tRNA-Glu". The record is from RNAcentral. Lineage: Eukaryota; Metazoa; Platyhelminthes; Trematoda; Plagiorchiida; Dicrocoeliidae.